This 493-nucleotide ribosomal RNA is filed under the name uncultured bacterium. Its description in RNAcentral is "partial 16S ribosomal RNA". It matches the Rfam family "Bacterial small subunit ribosomal RNA", at positions 28 to 506 of the family's 1533-position model. The record is from RNAcentral.
GACGAACGCUGGCGGCGUGCUUAACACAUGCAAGUCGAACGGAAAGGCCUGCUUUCCCUUGUGGAUUGCGGGUACUCGAGUGGCGAACGGGUGAGUAACACGUGAGUGAUCUGCCCCCAACUUGGGUAUAAGCCUGGGAAACUGGGUCUAAUUCCCGAUAGGACUGCAGGGUGGUGCCUGUGGUGGAAAACGAUUUUCUAGUGGUUGGGGAUGAGCUCGCGGCCUAUCAGCUUGUUGGUGGGGUAAUGGCCUACCAAGGCGGCGACGGGUAGCCGGCCUGGGGGGGGGGACGGCCCAAUGGGGACUGGGAAACGGCCCAGACCCCAAGGGGGGGGGGCAGGGGGGAAGUUUGGACAAGGGGGGGAAGCCUGAGGGACGGGCGCCGGGGGGGGGAUGACGGCCUUGGGGUUGUAACCUCCUUUGGACCGGGAGGAAGCCACCUGGUUGGAAGGGUGGUGACGGUAGUGGUAGAAGAAGCACCGGCUAACUACGU